CUUUUAUAACAGCCUCAGUCUGAGGGGGGAGGGGGGGUUAAAAAACAGAUCAGCUGUUUGUGUUGAUCUCAGAAAACUGCGAAUUAUCAGAGAAGCACGAACUGAUUUCCGCCGCAGAUCGAAACCAGAGAUAACCAUGGUGUGACUGAUCAUUAAAGCUAGCAUCUACGUGGUGAGGAAGAUCCGGGCCUCCAUUACUGAUGGAGAGCAACAUGAGAAACCCAUCAUUACACCAUGUAGUGCUAUCGCUGAAAAGAGUGCGGGACAUAAGUCGCUAGAAAACAAACCAGCGGCCGCACUGAUGUCGGAGCCUGAGGAAGACAUCAGUGGAGCAGCAGCGACGGGCAUGUCCUCGGAGAAGGCUGUGCAGUCAUGUGGCUCCUGAUAUUAAAGAUCACGCUGGACACUGGGACUGGGAUCAACUCACUAAUAUAUAAUUUGUCAUCUUUGAACAUAUGCAAUGCAAGACAAUAGUUUGCUGUUAGGGUGGAUCUCUUGUAUGUACAUACGCUCACAUACAAUGUUCAUCAUUCAGUUUUGUCAAUACCAACCAUGCUCCUCAUCCAGUGAUGAUUCCAGUCAAGUGUCUGUGCUGAACUCAGUGUUGAGAUCCUCAUGACGCACAUCUAGGCCUUUUUCACAGCACACAUUUGGGCUCAUCACAGCAGGAAAACACACAAAUAGCCUUAUUGAAGACUGUUCUCUUGUAUGUUUUGCUGGUGUAAUGUAAUGCAGUCUAUUUUGUUGUCUGUGAGAAAGGCCUAUGUUCAUUUACUGCAGUGUUUGAAGGCUGACUCACAAACCUCUCUCCAGGGGCCGAGCAGGCCUGAUGUUUAAGCUGUUGUAUCAAUAAAUGGAUAAAACGA
Long non-coding RNA from Paralichthys olivaceus (Japanese flounder), 866 nucleotides. RefSeq lists it as uncharacterized. NCBI's taxonomy places the organism in Eukaryota, Metazoa, Chordata, Actinopteri, Pleuronectiformes, Paralichthyidae. The record is from RefSeq and is a predicted model, not a curated record.